AUGUGGCUCCAGUGUACAGACAGCAGAAGACACCAAGAUCGUGAAGGCACAUCGAGUGCAGCCUGGCUUACGAAGAGCAAGGGACAAAGCCCAGUCAGGUGGCAACAGGAAAGAGACUCUGGUGUAAAUGUGUUCUCUGGUGAGAGGCUGGGAGGCUGUUUAUUUAUAAAUUUGUACAGUUUUUUUUUUUCUUGUAAUGGGAGCAUCCUAGGGUUACUCUGUACCAGCUGUAAUGUGUUCAUGGUUUGGGUUUCUCUCUCUCUCUUUCUCUUCCUCCUCCCUCCCCCCCUUUUUUUUUUUUUUUUUUCCUGAUUUUGUGUGUGUUGAGCCAAUUAAGAAAACUGAAGUUUUUGCAGUGUAUCAUGUCAGGAUAGUGAAGACCCAUGAGAUGACUUAUUAUAUUCUAGACUACUGGAAGAAACCACAAGAAGGACUUUGGUGAAAGUUUUUGUGUUGUCUGGAAAGCAAGAGAGAAGGCAGGAGACUGGAAUAGUGAAGAGAAGGAAAGGGAAAAAGGAGUUUGUCUAAGGUAAAAUGCUGAUUCAGAGGAGUGGAGACAGGAAAGCCUGACUUGAGGGUUUGUAGGAAGUUGUAGAAGGCCAGAGGGAGGUGGGAACUGUGUUUGCUUUGGUUUCUCAUGCCUGCAAAUAGUGAAUUUGAAAAGAAACCGUAAAAUGUGUUGGAAAUUUGAACAUAUUAGGUUAAUUCUGAUUGGUUUUCUUCAUUAAAAAAAUGAAGCUGGUGAUUCUUCACUCCAAAAUGUUUGUGUUAGAAAUGGGGUCAUGCUCUUUAAAGGAGGGAGAAGGAUUGAGAUCCUGUGUCAGCCCAGAUUUAUACUAGCCAUCAGUUCAAGUCAUUGUUACCCAUCGUGUGAAAUAUAUCUCCAGUGAAAAUGAAAAUUGGAAAAGGCUGUAAAUAGAUCAAUCAAGUGAUUUCUUUGUAUAAAUGAAUUAUACAAUUAAAAAAAGCAAACACAUAAUACCCCCCCCAAAAAAAAAGAAUUGUGUUGGAAUUUUGACUAGGAUUGCACUGAAUCUCUAGAUUGCUUUUGAUAGGAUGGCCAUCUUUACCAUGUCACUCCUACUGACC
Molecule: long non-coding RNA, 1089 nt
Filed under: Cricetulus griseus (Chinese hamster)
Lineage: Eukaryota; Metazoa; Chordata; Mammalia; Rodentia; Cricetidae
Description: lncRNA (ENSCGRG00000024454.1)
Source: RNAcentral